CAUAAAAUUAAUCCAACCAACGACUUUGAACUUUGAACAAGCCAUAUGGCCCCUUUCUUCUUUCGCUUUCUCCUAAUCUCCAUAGCCAUACGCUUUUCGUUUUCUUUCCAUUCUCCGAAUGAUAACUCCUUGAAUUCUCUUAAAUAUGCUUCCAUUAAAGACCGGAUUUUUGAGCUUGCUAAUGAUCAAGACACAUUGAAUUGGAUGAAGAAUAUCAGGAGAAAAAUUCACCAGAACCCUGAACUUGCAUUUCAAGAAUUCGAGACCAGUAAGCUUAUUCGGCAAGAACUUGAUCAGCUUGGUAUUUCCUAUCAAUGGCCCGUCGCAAGAACCGGUGUCGUGGCUGCAAUUGGGUCUGGUUUGCCCCCUUUUGUCGCUUUGAGAGCUGAUAUGGAUGCUUUGCCUAUUCAGG
RNAcentral lists this unclassified non-coding RNA (412 nucleotides) under Hevea brasiliensis (rubber tree). The record is from RNAcentral. Lineage: Eukaryota; Viridiplantae; Streptophyta; Magnoliopsida; Malpighiales; Euphorbiaceae.